Long non-coding RNA from Pseudoliparis swirei, 323 nucleotides. RefSeq lists it as uncharacterized. The transcript is spliced from 2 exons. The record is from RefSeq and is a predicted model, not a curated record. Lineage: Eukaryota; Metazoa; Chordata; Actinopteri; Perciformes; Liparidae.
AUUUCUAGUUUCAAAGGAUGAGCUCUGUUCCUUCUGUGGAAUUGAGGACCUGCCCAAAACUGAUGUUGAUGCUGUUUGGAUUCAGUGUGGAACUUGCUCAAGAUGGUUUCACACGCAGUGCCUUGGGAUGACAGCAGCACAAAUACCAAACAACAUUGGUAUUGUGUGUUGUGUAACUGAACACUUAGGAAUAUGUAUGUCUGACUUUGUCAGAUAAACUUGUUGACUUCAAGUUUAUCCAGUUAAAUGUUGUUCAAGCCGAACCAGUCAUGUAUACAUUGGUAUCUGAUCGUUCAUAAAGAUUAAAUGGGGGAAGUACUUGA